GACAGAGGUUGCAAGCGUUGUUCGGAAUUACUGGGCAUAAAGCGCACGUAGGCGGUCCGCUAAGUCAGGUGUGAAAUCCCCCGGCUCAACCGGGGAAUUGCGUCUGAUACUGGCGGGCUCGAGAUCGGUAGGGGUGAGCGGAACUCCAGGUGGAGCGGUGAAAUGCGUAGAUAUCUGGAGGAACACCGGUGGCGAAAGCGGCUCACUGGAUCGACACUGACGCUGAGGUGCGAAAGCUAGGGUAGCAAACGGG
Molecule: ribosomal RNA, 253 nt
Filed under: uncultured bacterium
Lineage: Bacteria
Description: partial 16S ribosomal RNA
Rfam family: Bacterial small subunit ribosomal RNA
Source: RNAcentral